GAUGAACGCUGGCGGCGUGCCUAAUACAUGCAAGUCGAGCGAACAGACGAGGAGCUUGCUCCUCUGACGUUAGCGGCGGACGGGUGAGUAACACGUGGAUAACCUACCUAUAAGACUGGGAUAACUUCGGGAAACCGGAGCUAAUACCGGAUAAUAUAUUGAACCGCAUGGUUCAAUAGUGAAAGACGGUUUUGCUGUCACUUAUAGAUGGAUCCGCGCCGCAUUAGCUAGUUGGUAAGGUAACGGCUUACCAAGGCAACGAUGCGUAGCCGACCUGAGAGGGUGAUCGGCCCCCCUGGAACUGAGACACGGUCCAGACUCCUACGGGAGGCAGCAGUAGGGAAUCUUCCGCAAUGGGCGAAAGCUUGACGGAGCAACGCCGCGUGAGUGAUGAAGGUCUUCGGAUCGUAAAACUCUGUUAUUAGGGAAGAACAAAUGUGUAAGUAACUAUGCACGUCUUGACGGUACCUAAUCAGAAAGCCACGGCUAACUACGUG
RNAcentral lists this ribosomal RNA (497 nucleotides) under uncultured bacterium. RNAcentral's name for it is "partial 16S ribosomal RNA". It matches the Rfam family "Bacterial small subunit ribosomal RNA", at positions 28 to 507 of the family's 1533-position model. The record is from RNAcentral.